AAGGGAGCUUGCUCCCUGGAUUCAGCGGCGGACGGGUGAGUAACACGUGGGCAACCUGCCUGUAAGACUGGGAUAACUCCGGGAAACCGGGGCUAAUACCGGAUAACUUCUUUUCUCGCAUGGGGAGAGGUUGAAAGACGGUUAUGCUGUCACUUACAGAUGGGCCCGCGGCGCAUUAGCUAGUUGGUGGGGUAACGGCCUACCAAGGCGACGAUGCGUAGCCGACCUGAGAGGGUGAUCGGCCACACUGGGACUGAGACACGGCCCAGACUCCUACGGGAGGCAGCAGUAGGGAAUCUUCCGCAAUGGACGAAAGUCUGACGGAGCAACGCCGCGUGAGUGACGAAGGCCUUCGGGUCGUAAAACUCUGUUAUCAGGGAAGAACAAGCAUUGGUUAACUGCCAGUGCCUUGACGGUACCUGACCAGAAAGCCACGGCUAACUACGUGCCAGCAGCCGCGGUAAUACGUAGGUGGCAAGCGUUGUCCGGAAUUAUUGGGCGUAAAGCGCGCGCAGGCGGCUUCUUAAGUCUGAUGUGAAAGCCCACGGCUCAACCGUGGAGGGUCAUUGGAAACUGGGAGGCUUGAGUGCAGAAGAGAAGAGCGGAAUUCCACGUGUAGCGGUGAAAUGCGUAGAGAUGUGGAGGAACACCAGUGGCGAAGGCGGCUCUUUGGUCUGUAACUGACGCUGAGGCGCGAAAGCGUGGGGAGAGAACAGGAUUAGAUACCCUGGUGUUCCACGCCGUAAACGAUGAGUGCUAAGUGUUAGGGGG
RNAcentral lists this ribosomal RNA (771 nucleotides) under Siminovitchia fortis. Its description in RNAcentral is "bacterial SSU rRNA". It matches the Rfam family "Bacterial small subunit ribosomal RNA", at positions 72 to 830 of the family's 1533-position model. Lineage: Bacteria; Bacillati; Bacillota; Bacilli; Caryophanales; Bacillaceae. The record is from RNAcentral.